UACGGGGGGGGCAAGCGUUGUUCGGAAUUACUGGGCGUAAAGGGCUCGUAGGCGGCCAACUAAGUCAGACGUGAAAUCCCCCGGCUUAACCUGGGAACUGCAUCCGAUACUGGAUGGCUUGAAUCCGGGAGAGGGAUGCAGAAUUCCAGGUGUAGCGGUGAAAUGCGUAGAUAUCUGGAGGAAUACCGGUGGCGAAGGCGGCAUCCUGGACCGGCAUUGACGCUGAGGAGCGAAAGCUAGGGGAGCAAACGGG
Molecule: ribosomal RNA, 253 nt
Filed under: uncultured bacterium
Lineage: Bacteria
Description: partial 16S ribosomal RNA
Rfam family: Bacterial small subunit ribosomal RNA
Source: RNAcentral